GAGUGGCAAACGGGUGAGUAACGCGUGGGCGACCUACCUCAGAGUGGGGGAUAACCUUCCGAAAGGAGGGCUAAUACCGCAUGACAUACCGUGUUUGGAUACACGGAUAUCAAAGCCGGGGAUCGUAAGACCUGGCGCUUGGAGAGGGGCCCGCGUCCGAUUAGCUAGUUGGUGAGGUAACGGCUCACCAAGGCUCCGAUCGGUAUCCGGCCUGAGAGGGCGGACGGACACACUGGAACUGAGACACGGUCCAGACUCCUACGGGAGGCAGCAGUGGGGAAUUGUUCGCAAUGGGCGCAAGCCUGACGACGCAACGCCGCGUGGAGGAUGAAGACUUUCGGGUCGUAAACUCCUUUCGACCGAGAUGAAUUUCCUGCGACCUAACACGUCGCGGGAGUGACAGUAUCGAGGGAAGAAGCCCCGGCUAACUCCGUGCCAGCAGCCGCGGUAAUACGGGGGGGGCAAGCGUUGUUCGGAAUUACUGGGCGUAAAGGGUUUGUAGGUGGCUUGUUAAGUCAGACGUGAAAUCCCUCAGCUUAACUGGGGAACUGCGUCUGAUACUGGCGAGCUUGAGUGCAGGAGAGGAACGCGGAAUUCCAGGUGUAGCGGUGAAAUGCGUAGAUAUCUGGAGGAACACCGGUGGCGAAGGCGGCGUUCUGGACUGCAAC
This 668-nucleotide ribosomal RNA is filed under the name uncultured bacterium. RNAcentral describes it as "bacterial SSU rRNA". It matches the Rfam family "Bacterial small subunit ribosomal RNA", at positions 93 to 740 of the family's 1533-position model. The record is from RNAcentral.